GACGAACGCUGGCGGCGUGCCUAAUACAUGCAAGUAGAACGCUGAAGAGAGGAGCUUGCUCUUCUUGGAUGAGUUGCGAACGGGUGAGUAACGCGUAGGUAACCUGCCUUGUAGCGGGGGAUAACUAUUGGAAACGAUAGCUAAUACCGCAUAACAAUGGAUGACACAUGUCAUUUAUUUGAAAGGGGCAAUUGCUCCACUACAAGAUGGACCUGCGUUGUAUUAGCUAGUAGGUGAGGUAAUGGCUCACCUAGGCGACGAUACAUAGCCGACCUGAGAGGGUGAUCGGCCACACUGGGACUGAGACACGGCCCAGACUCCUACGGGAGGCAGCAGUAGGGAAUCUUCGGCAAUGGGGGCAACCCUGACCGGGCAACGCCGCGUGAGUGAAGAAGGUUUUCGGAUCGUAAAGCUCUGUUGUAAGUCAAGAACGGGUGUGAGAGUGGAAAGUUCACACUGUGACGGUAGCUUACCAGAAAGGGACGGCUAACUACGUG
This 497-nucleotide ribosomal RNA is filed under the name uncultured bacterium. RNAcentral describes it as "partial 16S ribosomal RNA". It matches the Rfam family "Bacterial small subunit ribosomal RNA", at positions 28 to 507 of the family's 1533-position model. The record is from RNAcentral.